AGCUCAAUUGGAUACCUGCCUGCCGGCAGGCAGGGAGCGCUAGCCUUCGGAGCUAGGCGUUGCAGGUUCGACUCCUGCCAGGC
This 83-nucleotide transfer RNA is filed under the name Candidatus Omnitrophota bacterium. Its description in RNAcentral is "tRNA-Arg". It matches the Rfam family "tRNA", at positions 9 to 65 of the family's 71-position model. From Rfam's summary of the family: Transfer RNA (tRNA) molecules are approximately 80 nucleotides in length. Their secondary structure includes four short double-helical elements and three loops (D, anti-codon, and T loops). The record is from RNAcentral. Lineage: Bacteria; Pseudomonadati; Candidatus Omnitrophota.